GCAAACUUGGUCAUUUAGAGGAAGUAAAAGUCGUAACAAGGUCUCCGUAGGUGAGUAGCAGUCAAUCAAAACUUCAACCAAAUAAUCCAAUACUAACGAACUUCUAGGUGAACCUGCGGAGGGAUCAUUACCGAGUGAGGGCCUCUGGCCCGACCUCCAACCCUUUGUUAUUAACACCUGUUGCCUCGGGGGCGACCCGGCCUGCGGGCGUCGGGGCCCCCGGUGGACCGUCAAACUCGCGUCAAAGCGUCCGAGCAAAUAGAAAAUUGAUAAAAACUUUCAACAACGGAUCUCUUGGUUCUGGCAUCGAUGAAGAACGCAGC
Molecule: unclassified non-coding RNA, 323 nt
Filed under: uncultured fungus
Lineage: Eukaryota; Fungi
Description: partial contains small subunit ribosomal RNA, internal transcribed spacer 1, and 5.8S ribosomal RNA
Rfam family: Eukaryotic small subunit ribosomal RNA (bases 1-130)
Source: RNAcentral